AAUCAACGCUGGCGGCGUGCCUCAGACAUGCAAGUCGAACGCUGCUGUUCGCCUUCGGGUGGACAGCGGAGUGGCGCACGGGUGAGUAACACGUAGGUAAUCUACCUUUGGGUGGGAAUAACAGCCGGAAACGGCUGCUAAUACCGCAUAAUGCAGCGGCAUCACAUGAUGACAGUUGUUAAAGCGGGGAUCGUAAGACCUCGCGCCUGAAGAGGAGCCUGCGGCAGAUUAGGUAGUUGGUGAGGUAAUGGCUCACCAAGCCUGCGAUCUGUAA
Molecule: ribosomal RNA, 274 nt
Filed under: uncultured bacterium
Lineage: Bacteria
Description: partial 16S ribosomal RNA
Rfam family: Bacterial small subunit ribosomal RNA
Source: RNAcentral